RNAcentral lists this ribosomal RNA (810 nucleotides) under Mycobacteroides abscessus subsp. bolletii. RNAcentral's name for it is "bacterial LSU rRNA". It matches the Rfam family "Bacterial large subunit ribosomal RNA", at positions 1956 to 2774 of the family's 2925-position model. The record is from RNAcentral. Lineage: Bacteria; Bacillati; Actinomycetota; Actinomycetes; Mycobacteriales; Mycobacteriaceae.
UGUAUAUUCGUCUGAGAUAAGUAAGACAUCACGAUUGUGUACGACUCUCUCACUGUCUCACCAUAGACUCGGCGAAAUUGCACUACGAGUAAAGAUGCUCGUUACGCGCGGCAGGACGAAAAGACCCCGGGACCUUCACUAUAGCUUGGUAUUGGCGUUUGGUUCGGUUUGUGUAGGAUAGGUGGGAGACUGUGAAGCAGGCACGCCAGUGUUUGUGGAGUCAUCGUUGAAAUACCACUCUGAUCGUAUUGAACCUCUAACCUCGGACCGUAUAUCCGGUCCAGGGACAGUGCCUGGUGGGUAGUUUAACUGGGGCGGUUGCCUCCCAAAAUGUAACGGAGGCGCCCAAAGGUUCCCUCAACCUGGACGGCAAUCAGGUGUUGAGUGCAAGUGCACAAGGGAGCUUGACUGCGAGACCUACAAGUCAAGCAGGGACGAAAGUCGGGACUAGUGAUCCGGCACCUCUGAGUGGAAGGGGUGUCGCUCAACGGAUAAAAGGUACCCCGGGGAUAACAGGCUGAUCUUCCCCAAGAGUCCAUAUCGACGGGAUGGUUUGGCACCUCGAUGUCGGCUCGUCGCAUCCUGGGGCUGGAGCAGGUCCCAAGGGUUGGGCUGUUCGCCCAUUAAAGCGGCACGCGAGCUGGGUUUAGAACGUCGUGAGACAGUUCGGUCUCUAUCCGCCGCGCGCGUCAGAAACUUGAGGAAACCUGUCCCUAGUACGAGAGGACCGGGACGGACGAACCUCUGGUGUACCAGUUGUUCCACCAGGAGCAAGGCUGGAUAGCUACUCUCGGACAGGAUAACUGCUGA